UAAGGUUAAGUUAAUAAGGGCGCACGGUGGAUGCCUUGGCACUAGGAGCCGAAGAAGGACGUGACAAACGACGAUAUGCCUUGGGUAGCUGUAAGUAAGCGAUGAUCCAGGGAUUUCCGAAUGGGGGAACCCAACAGGUACUACCUGUUACCCACAUCUGUUAAGGAUGUGAGGAGGAAGACGCAGUGAACUGAAACAUCUAAGUAGCUGCAGGAAGAGAAAGCAAAAGCGAUUGCCUUAGUAGCGGCGAGCGAAACGGCAGGAGGGCAAACCGAAGAGUUUACUCUUCGGGGUUGUAGGACUGCAAUGUGGACUCAAAGAUUAUAGAAGAAUGAUUUGGGAAGAUCAGCCAAAGAGAGUAAUAGCCUCGUAUUUAAAAUAGUCUUUGUACCUAGCAGUAUCCUGAGUACGGCGGGACACGAGAAAUCCCGUCGGAAUCUGGGAGGACCAUCUCCCAACCCUAAAUACUCCCUAGUGACCGAUAGUGAACCAGUACCGUGAGGGAAAGGUGAAAAGCACCCCGGGAGGGGAGUGAAAUAGAACCUGAAACCGUGUGCCUACAACAAGUUCGAGCCCGUUAAUGGGUGAGAGCGUGCCUUUUGUAGAAUGAACCGGCGAGUUACGUUAUGAUGCGAGGUUAAGUUGAAGAGACGGAGCCGUAGGGAAACCGAGUCUGAACAGGGCGAAUUAGUAUCAUGACGUAGACCCGAAACCAUGUGACCUACCCAUGAGCAGGUUGAAGGUGCGGUAAGACGCACUGGAGGACCGAACCAGGGCACGUUGAAAAGUGCUUGGAUGACUUGUGGGUAGCGGAGAAAUUCCAAACGAACUUGGAGAUAGCUGGUUCUCUCCGAAAUAGCUUUAGGGCUAGCGUCGACAUUAGAGAUUCUUGGAGGUAGAGCACUGUUUGGGUGAGGGGUCCAUCCCGGAUUACCAAUCUCAGAUAAACUCCGAAUGCCAAUGAAUUAUGGUCGGCAGUCAGACUGCGAGUGCUAAGAUCCGUAGUCGAAAGGGAAACAGCCCAGACCACCAGCUAAGGUCCCAAAAUAAUUGUUAAGUGGAAAAGGAUGUGGGGUUGCACAGACA
RNAcentral lists this ribosomal RNA (1086 nucleotides) under Streptococcus mitis. RNAcentral describes it as "bacterial LSU rRNA". It matches the Rfam family "Bacterial large subunit ribosomal RNA", at positions 1 to 1091 of the family's 2925-position model. Lineage: Bacteria; Bacillati; Bacillota; Bacilli; Lactobacillales; Streptococcaceae. The record is from RNAcentral.